GACGAACGCUGGCGGCGUGCUUAACACAUGCAAGUCGAACGGACUACUUUGCUUCGGUAAGGUGGUUAGUGGCGAACGGGUGAGUAACGCGUAGACAACCUACCUCUUAGAUGGGGACAACAUCGCGAAAGCGGUGCUAAUACCGAAUGAAGUGACUUUCCUGCAUGGGAGAGAUACUAAAGGUGGCCUCUAUUUAUAAGCUACCACUGAGAGAUGGGUCUGCGUCUGAUUAGCUAGUUGGCGGGGUAACGGCCCACCAAGGCGACGAUCAGUAGCCGGGCUGAGAGGAUGAACGGCCACAUUGGGACUGAGACACGGGCCAAACUCCUACGGGAGGCAGCAGUGGGGAAUCUUCCGCAAUGGACGAAAGUCUGACGGAGCAACGCCGCGUGAGUGAAGAAGGUUUUCGGAUCGUAAAGCUCUGUUGUUUGAGACGAAUGUGCCUGUUUCGAAUAGGGAUAGGUAAUGACGGUAUUAAACGAGAAAGCCACGGCUAACUACGUGCCAGCCGCCGCGGUAA
This 520-nucleotide ribosomal RNA is filed under the name uncultured bacterium. RNAcentral describes it as "partial 16S ribosomal RNA". It matches the Rfam family "Bacterial small subunit ribosomal RNA", at positions 28 to 523 of the family's 1533-position model. The record is from RNAcentral.